UGGGGAAUAUUGCACAAUGGGCGAAAGCCUGAUGCAGCAACGCCGCGUGAGCGAUGAAGGCCUUCGGGUCGUAAAGCUCUGUCCUCAAGGAAGAUAAUGACGGUACUUGAGGAGGAAGCCCCGGCUAACUACGUGCCAGCAGCCGCGGUAAUACGUAGGGGGCGUAGCGUUAUCCGGAUUUACUGGGCGUAAAGGGUGCGUAGGUGGUAAGUCAAGUCAGCGGUGAAAAGUCGGGGCUAAACCUUGAGGGUGCCGUUGAAACUGAUUUACUAGAAUGUGGAUGAUGCCGGCGGAAUGUGUCAAGUAGCGGUGAAAUGCAUAGAUAUGACACAGAAGGCCGAUUGCGAAGGCAGC
Molecule: ribosomal RNA, 354 nt
Filed under: uncultured Clostridium sp.
Lineage: Bacteria; Bacillati; Bacillota; Clostridia; Eubacteriales; Clostridiaceae
Description: bacterial SSU rRNA
Rfam family: Bacterial small subunit ribosomal RNA
Source: RNAcentral